CUUGGGAUUGGUAGGGGGGUGUCUUCAUGCUUCCACUGCCUUGCUCAUCUACCCUCCUUCACCCCCCUCCCUCCCCCGUGAAUAGGAUUGCGCUGCUGUUCGCUGUGUUGCAUGAUGCGGUUUGUGUCCCGGCUCUCACGAACAAUCCCGCCCGGAGUUUACCAUACUUGAUCUCUUGCGCGGACCUACGGGUGCCCAGAUGCGUGGCGUGUGGUAGGCGGCGCGUACGUGCGCGCGCUGCAACUGCGCCAAAGGGGUCAUUGUCAAAUUCCUUGCAGCGGCUGGUGCGAGAUGGUAGGAGGGGGAACUUUCUCUCCUCUGCCCUAUCAUCCCUGUUGGUGCCGUGCCAGGACCGUAUGACUCCAAGAGCUGUUUGCCGUUGUGCGUGUGCGCGUGGGUGAGCGAGAGACGACGACGACAACUGAACCUCAUUUGCAAUACACAGUUGGUGAGAGCCUUUCUUUCGAUGAUGAUGCACGAGUUAAUCCAUUCUCUGAGUCUCUGUGUGCGUGUGUAUGUGCGCAGGUGCACUGCCGAACUGCGGCGUGACGGGUGCUAGACAUGCGGGGGCUGCUGUGUCGAGGAGCAUGAGCAGUGUGCAGCCGCAAGCAAAGGAGCACGGGGGGACUCCAAACACCGUCUAUUCCCCUGCGUGAUGGAACUGUGACGAGACGGCAUGUGAUGCAACGCCUCCAACGCUGGACCGCACUGCUUGCUGUUUGCACGGGAAGGGGCGGGUGCUGCGGCAUCGUGUGUGUUGGCGUCUGGCACCUGGCGGUGGCUGGAUCGCCAUGUCACCGCACGGGAGAGCUGCCUAUCGGCAUCGCUCAUCCUUGCAGCGCACACGCCUUUGCCCUCACCCUGCUGCCGAGAUGUGGGGCACUGUGAAGACGGUGGAGAACAAAGCACAGCCAUCGGACACAGGGAGGCUGCGCUCGGUGCCUUCCUGUGAUGAAGUCAGGCCGGCGAGAAUGUCGAGAGCCCAGCGCAACGCGCGUCCAUCCCUCCUUGCCGCUCUCCGCGUGUGCCGCAGCUGUGGCGGCGGCAGAGGGAAGGGAGGCAGGCGCGGUGGUGGGGUCUGCAGCUCGUCGUCUUUUCGCGGCGUGUGUGUGUGUGUGUGUGCGACACUUAGCCGCAAACAAAGGAACACGGGGGGACUCCAAACACCGUCUAUUCCCCUGCGUGAUGGAACUGUGGCGAGACGGUGCGUGCGGCGCCGGGCCAGCGUGCUGCCCGCGUGUGUCAGUGUUGUUUUUGUGCGGUGAGCAAAGGGGCUUGGGAUUGGUAGGGGGGUGUCUUCAUGCUUCCACUGCCUUGCUCAUCUACCCUCCUUCACCCCCCUCCCUCCCCCGUGAAUAGGAUUGCGCUGCUGUUCGCUGUGUUGCAUGAUGCGGUUUGUGUCCCGGCUCUCACGAACAAUCCCGCCCGGAGUUUACCAUACUUGAUCUCUUGCGCGGACCUACGGGUGCCCAGAUGCGUGGCGUGUGGUAGGCGGCGCGUACGUGCGCGCGCUGCAACUGCGCCAAAGGGGUCAUUGUCAAAUUCCUUGCAGCGGCUGGUGCGAGAUGGUAGGAGGGGGAACUUUCUCUCCUCUGCCCUAUCAUCCCUGUUGGUGCCGUGCCAGGACCGUAUGACUCCAAGAGCUGUUUGCCGUUGUGCGUGUGCGCGUGGGUGAGCGAGAGACGACGACGACAACUGAACCUCAUUU
This 1708-nucleotide unclassified non-coding RNA is filed under the name Leishmania donovani. RNAcentral describes it as "gene:unknown". The stretch from base 129 to 200 matches the Rfam family "Trypanosomatid snoRNA TB11Cs3H1". Lineage: Eukaryota; Euglenozoa; Kinetoplastea; Trypanosomatida; Trypanosomatidae. The record is from RNAcentral.